AGAUUCUAGAAGUUGAAAAAUAUAGAUCAGGAGAGCUGAAAGGUCAAACUCCUCAUUCAGUUGGUCAAUUGGAUCAUCUAAAUGAGGCUGAUGGAGCACAUCCAUCAACCUUGGGUUUUGAAAGUCAACUUCCUGAACUUAGAAACAUGGAUAGUAUAGGACGUAAUUUGUCUAGUAAUCUGUUGCUUGCAAAAGAUCCCAGGCAAAAUGAUUUAGACUUGACUCUGCCUAAUCAGGGAGAGAGCCAAACCGAAUAUAGCAAAGUGAAUGGCACAUCGAGAGCAAUACCUGGUGGCCUGACAACAACUGAUAAUUCUGGUGUUUCACAUUUCUCAUCACCUUCGGCAUCAUUUUCACCCAACAGGUAUCAAAUAGAAGGAGAAUAUGACAGACAGCUCAAUUUAUCUGGACAAGGUUUGAUGCCAGUGGCCGAAGUUAACAGCAGUGUGAAGAAGGAUCUUGUUUUGAAGAUCCAGGAGCAUGAACAGGAGGUUGUACAAAUGAGGAAAUAUCUCUCUGAAUAUUCUAUCAAGGAAGCACAAAUUCGCAAUGAGAAAUAUGUUCUGGAAAAGCGAAUUGCUUACAUGCGCAUGGCAUUUGAUCAGCAGCAACAAGAUCUUGUUGAUGCUGCCUCUAAAGCGAUAUCAUACAGACAAGACAUAAUUGAGGAAAAUAUACGCCUUACAUAUGCACUGCAGGCUGCACAGCAAGAAAGAU
Molecule: unclassified non-coding RNA, 717 nt
Filed under: Hevea brasiliensis (rubber tree)
Lineage: Eukaryota; Viridiplantae; Streptophyta; Magnoliopsida; Malpighiales; Euphorbiaceae
Source: RNAcentral